GAUGAACGCUGGCGGCGUGCUUAACACAUGCAAGUCGAACGAAGCACUUUAUUUGAUUUCCUUCGGGACUGAUUAUUUUGUGACUGAGUGGCGGACGGGUGAGUAACGCGUGGGUAAACUGCCUUGUACAGGGGGAUAACAGUUGGAAACGGCUGCUAAUACCGCAUAAGCGCACGGCAUCGCAUGAUGCAGUGUGAAAAACUCCGGUGGUAUAAGAUGGACCCGCGUUGGAUUAGCUAGUUGGUGAGGUAACGGCCCACCAAGGCGACGAUCCAUAGCCGACCUGAGAGGGUGACCGGCCACAUUGGGACUGAGACACGGCCCAAACUCCUACGGGAGGCAGCAGUGGGGAAUAUUGCACAAUGGGCGAAAGCCUGAUGCAGCGACGCCGCGUGAGCGAAGAAGUAUUUCGGUAUGUAAAGCUCUAUCAGCAGGGAAGAUAAUGACGGUACCUGACUAAGAAGCACCGGCUAAAUACGUG
This 481-nucleotide ribosomal RNA is filed under the name uncultured bacterium. RNAcentral's name for it is "partial 16S ribosomal RNA". It matches the Rfam family "Bacterial small subunit ribosomal RNA", at positions 28 to 507 of the family's 1533-position model. The record is from RNAcentral.